RNAcentral lists this ribosomal RNA (505 nucleotides) under uncultured bacterium. Its description in RNAcentral is "partial 16S ribosomal RNA". It matches the Rfam family "Bacterial small subunit ribosomal RNA", at positions 29 to 523 of the family's 1533-position model. The record is from RNAcentral.
AGUGAACGCUGGCGGUAGGCCUAACACAUGCAAGUCGAACGGCAGCACAGAGGAGCUUGCUCCUUGGGUGGCGAGUGGCGGACGGGUGAGGAAUACAUCGGAAUCUACUCUGUCGUGAGGGAUAACGUAGGGAAACUUACGCUAAUACCGCAUACGACCUACGGGUGAAAGCAGGGGACCUUCGGGCCUGGCGCGAUUGAAUGAGCCGAUGUCGGAUUAGCUAGUUGGCGGGGUAACGGCCCACCAAGGCGACGAUCCGUCGCUGGUCUGAGAGGAUGAUCAGCCACACUGGAACUGAGACACGGUCCAGACUCCUACGGGAGGCAGCAGUGGGGAAUAUUGGACAAUGGGCGCAAGCCUGAUCCAGCCAUACCGCGUGGGUGAAGAAGGCCUUCGGGUUGUAAAGCCCUUUUGUUGGGAAAGAAAUCCAGCUGGCUAUACCCGGUUGGGAUGACGGUACCCAAAGAAUAAGCACCGGCUAACUUCGUGCCAGCCGCCGCCGUAA